This 510-nucleotide ribosomal RNA is filed under the name Trichoplax sp. H6. RNAcentral describes it as "partial 16S ribosomal RNA". It matches the Rfam family "Bacterial large subunit ribosomal RNA", at positions 2034 to 2409 of the family's 2925-position model. Lineage: Eukaryota; Metazoa; Placozoa; Uniplacotomia; Trichoplacea; Trichoplacidae. The record is from RNAcentral.
UAGUGAAAUUGAAAUAACAGUGAAGAUGCUGUUUAAGAAUUCUAAGACGAGAAGACCCCAUUGAGCUUUACUAUUAACUUGUAUUGCCAGAGCAAAAAGGGAACCCAAAAGGUUCCCGGGCGAUCCUACGGAUCGGACCCCCUCGGGGUCCUUCCAACGGAUCCCUUAAGUCCCCUGUCCUUUGCUUCAUAAUAAAAUUGUGAAGACUAAGUGGAAAAAGAUAAAACAAGGGAUUAAAAAGAACGGGCCUCUGGGCCCCGACUCUCAAAAGGCCUUUUGGCUUCUUGUCCCAAUUUAUAUGAAAAACCACUCUUUUUAUUAAGAUUACUGUCUAAAACCGUACAAGUAAGAUAGUUUGGUUGGGGCGACCGCCUUCGAAAAAGUAUCGAAGGCGCACAUAAGAUUAGUCCGGAGGGGGGUCCUACGGAUCCCCCUCCCGGGGGCAAUGCCCCAAAAAAGAUUAGUUUGACUGAAAGGGCUACAACCCGAACAGGCGCCGGGGGAUCCGGG